RNAcentral lists this non-coding RNA (184 nucleotides) under Salmonella enterica. RNAcentral describes it as "6S RNA". It matches the Rfam family "6S / SsrS RNA". From Rfam's summary of the family: E. coli 6S RNA was the first non coding RNA to be sequenced, but its function was unknown until recently. It consists of 184 nucleotides that fold into an extended hairpin structure with a large single-stranded internal bulge. The 6S RNA specifically associates with RNA polymerase holoenzyme containing the sigma70 specificity factor. The record is from RNAcentral. RNAcentral also lists the same sequence under 1 other name. Lineage: Bacteria; Pseudomonadati; Pseudomonadota; Gammaproteobacteria; Enterobacterales; Enterobacteriaceae.
AUUUCUCUGAGAUGUUUGCAAGCGGGCCAGUCCCCUGAGCCGAUAUUUCAUACCACAAGAAUGUGGCGCUCCGCGGUUGGUGAGCAUACUCGGUUCGUCCGAGAAGCCUUAAAACUGUGACGACACAUUCACCUUGAACCAAGGGUUCAAGGGUUACAGCCUGCGGCGGCAUCUCGGAGAUUCC